This is a transfer RNA of 72 nucleotides. It matches the Rfam family "tRNA". Rfam says of the family: Transfer RNA (tRNA) molecules are approximately 80 nucleotides in length. Their secondary structure includes four short double-helical elements and three loops (D, anti-codon, and T loops). The record is from Rfam.
GCUCAAGUCGUAUAGUGGUUAGUACGCCACGUUGUGGCCGUGGAAACGGAGGUUCGAUUCCUCCCUUGGGCA